AACGAACGCUGGCGGCGUGGAUAAGACAUGCAAGUCGAACGGGAUUUCUUUCUGUCGCAAGACAGGAAGAAGUCUAGUGGCGAACGGGUGCGUAACACGUGGGCAAUCUGCCUUAAAGUGGGGGAUAGCUCGGCGAAAGCCGAAUUAAUACCGCAUGUGAUGAGAGUAGACAUCUAUUCGAAAUCAAAGCCGGGGCAACCUGGCGCUUUUUGAGGAGCCCGCGGCCAUCAGCUUGUUGGUGAGGUAACGGCCCACCAAGGCUAUGACGGGUAGCUGGUCUGAGAGGACGACCAGUCACACUGGGACUGAGACACGGCCCAGACACCUACGGGUGGCAGCAGUCGAGUAAUUUUUCUCAAGU
RNAcentral lists this ribosomal RNA (361 nucleotides) under uncultured bacterium. RNAcentral's name for it is "bacterial SSU rRNA". It matches the Rfam family "Bacterial small subunit ribosomal RNA", at positions 29 to 373 of the family's 1533-position model. The record is from RNAcentral.